RNAcentral lists this ribosomal RNA (271 nucleotides) under Trichophyton rubrum. Its description in RNAcentral is "partial 28S ribosomal RNA". It matches the Rfam family "Eukaryotic large subunit ribosomal RNA", at positions 1 to 263 of the family's 3401-position model. The record is from RNAcentral. Lineage: Eukaryota; Fungi; Ascomycota; Eurotiomycetes; Onygenales; Arthrodermataceae.
GGUUGACCUCGGAUCAGGUAGGGAUACCCGCUGAACUUAAGCAUAUCAAUAAGCGGAGGAAAAGAAACCAACAGGGAUUGCCCCAGUAACGGCGAGUGAAGCGGCAAGAGCUCAAAUUUGAAAUCUGGCCUCCCCCGGGGGUCCGAGUUGUAAUUUGCAGAGGAUGCUUCGGGCGCGGCCCCCGUCUAAGUUCCUUGGAACAGGACGUCAGAGAGGGUGAGAAUCCCGUCUUGGGCGGGCGGCCCGCGCCCGUGUGAAGCUCCUUCGACGA